GCUUAACACAUGCAAGUCGAGGGGCAGCACAAGGCAGCAAUGCUGAGGUGGCGACCGGCGCACGGGUGCGUAACGCGUAUCCAACCUUCCCGUUACUCAUGGAUAGCCUUCCGAAAGGGAGAUUAAUACAUGAUGGUGUUGAAAUUCCGCAUGUUAUUUCAACUAAAGAUUUAUCGGUAACGGAUGGGGAUGCGUGACAUUAGAUAGAUGGCGGGGUAACGGCCCACCAUGUCCGCGAUGUCUAGGGGUUCUGAGAGGAAGGUCCCCCACACUGGAACUGAGACACGGUCCAGACUCCUACGGGAGGCAGCAGUGAGGAAUAUUGGUCAAUGGCCGGAAGGCUGAACCAGCCAAGUAGCGUGAAGGAUGAAGGUUCUAUGGAUUGUAAACUUCUUUUAUGAGGGAAUAAAACCUCCCACGUGUGGGAGCUUGUAUGUACCUUAUGAAUAAGCAUCGGCUAACUCCGUGCCAGCAGCCGCGGUAAUACGGAGGAUGCGAGCGUUAUCCGGAUUUAUUGGGUUUAAAGGGAGCGUAGGCGGGAUAUUAAGUCAGUCGUCAAAGCCUGUGGCUCAACCACAGCCCGCGAUUGAUACUGGUAACCUUGAGUGCGGAUGAGGUGGAUGGAAUUCGUGGUGUAGCGGUGAAAUGCUUAGAUAUCACGAA
Molecule: ribosomal RNA, 663 nt
Filed under: uncultured Bacteroidota bacterium
Lineage: Bacteria; Pseudomonadati; Bacteroidota
Description: bacterial SSU rRNA
Rfam family: Bacterial small subunit ribosomal RNA
Source: RNAcentral